GAUGAACGCUGGCGGCGUGCCUGAUACAUGCAAGUCGAGCGAACAGACGAGGAGCUUGCUCCUCUGACGUUAGCGGCGGACGGGUGAGUAACACGUGGAUAACCUACCUAUAAGACUGGGAUAACUUCGGGAAACCGGAGCUAAUACCGGAUAAUAUAUUGAACCGCAUGGUUCAAUAGUGAAAGACGGUUUUGCUGUCACUUAUAGAUGGAUCCGCGCCGCAUUAGCUAGUUGGUAAGGUAACGGCUUACCAAGGCAACGAUGCGUAGCCGACCUGAGAGGGUGAUCGGCCACACUGGAACUGAGACACGGUCCAGACUCCUACGGGAGGCAGCAGUAGGGAAUCUUCCGCAAAGGGCGAAAGCCUGACGGAGCAACGCCGCGUGAGUGAUGAAGGUCUUCGGAUCGUAAAACUCUGUUAUUAGGGAAGAACAAAUGUGUAAGUAACUAUGCACGUCUUGACGGUACCUAAUCAGAAAGCCACGGCUAACUACGUG
Molecule: ribosomal RNA, 497 nt
Filed under: uncultured bacterium
Lineage: Bacteria
Description: partial 16S ribosomal RNA
Rfam family: Bacterial small subunit ribosomal RNA
Source: RNAcentral